This is a long non-coding RNA of Marmota flaviventris (yellow-bellied marmot), 890 nucleotides long. RefSeq lists it as uncharacterized. The record is from RefSeq and is a predicted model, not a curated record. NCBI's taxonomy places the organism in Eukaryota, Metazoa, Chordata, Mammalia, Rodentia, Sciuridae.
CCGACCGGACUGGGCCUGUGAAGGCUGUGGCUGGAAGGCAGUGUCUGCGAAAGUGUCGGGGCUAUCCUUCCAUCUCCUACUUCCAGAAACAACCUGUGCAAAGAGUGGCAGCUCAUGACAAGGAGGGAACUGAGGCCUGGAAGGGUCUCAGUUGAUGCAAAGGAAGGAAUUGUGCGUCCUAUAUAAGGGCAGCAAUUGCUCCAUUUACGGAACGUUAAGCUUCCUUCAAUCUCUUUUCUCCCAUUGCCUCCUUUUAUCUUUUUGUGUUGUGAGGUAAGUCUGUUCUUAUGCCCCAUUUACAGAUAUGGUAUCUGAGACCCAGGGCCGACUCUCUUGCGCACGGCGGAGAAGUGGUCGAGACAGAAUUGGAACCUAGGUUUGUGGUCUUUAUACCAGGAACCUGUCGAACGAUCUUACAGGAGCUUUAGCUCAUUACCUGUUGAUUGUUCUUUAUUUGCUCACUUUAUUUACUGAGCACCACUGCGCCGGGCUUCCCAGGCCCUAGAGAAACGAGAACAUGGCAUGGCACCUGCGCAUGGACCUUUCUGGAGAAGUAAGGAGACAAUAAACGGAAUAAUACAGUGUGGUGUUAAGAAGAAAAUGAAAAGGAUGCCGAGCCCUCAUGAUAAGUGUAGACCUGUGCCUGUGUGCUUCCAAUGAAAAGUGAAUAGAAGAGGUGUGCACAUGUUCCAGGCCUGGCUCAUAACAACCUUCAACAGGUGCUCCUCUAGCCUCUUUCUCUGCCAGCUGGAAGCAAAUAACCACCAGAUUCUGGAAAAGACAAAACUCCUCAAGACUGAAGAUUCCUGAGUGGAGAACCUAUCUCGCCAACCUGCAUGUCCACUCAGAACUGUUAUUUUCAAAGGAAAAAAAAAAACUAAUAAUAAUAA